GGUGACGGCGUGCUUUUUGUAGAACGAUCCAGCGAGUUAAUUUUUACGGCGAGGUUAAGUCAGAUGAUGAAGCCAUAGUGAAAGCGAGCAUUAACAGUGCGAUUUAGUCGUAAGGAUUAGACCCGAAACCAGGUGACCUAACCAUGAGCAGGUUGAAGCAACCUUAAUCGGUUGUGGAGGACCGAACCAGUGUAUGUUACAAAAUGCUUGGAUGACUUGUGGUUAGCGGUGAAAUGCCAAUCGAACUUGGAGAUAGCUGGUUCUCCGCGAAAUAGUUAUAGGACUAGCGUCGUGUGAUAGCUUACGGGGGUAGAGCUCUGUCAAGAGAUAGGGGGAGCAAUCCUACCUACUCUUAAUAAACUACAAAUACCGUAUGUCUGUAUCACGGCAGUUAGAACGUCGGUGCUAAGAUCGGCGCUCAAAAGGGAAACAGCCCGGACCAUCAUCUAAGGUCCCCAAAUUUACGCUAAGUGGGAAACAAGGUGGAAUUUCUUAAACAGCUAGGAUGUUGGCUUAGAAGCAGCCAUUCAUUUAAAGAGUGCGUAACAGCUCACUAGUCAAGAGAUUCUGCGUGGAAGAUAUAACGGGGCUAAGCGUAAUACCGAAGAUAUGGAUUGCAAUUUAUUGCAGUGGUAGCGGAGCGUUCCUAUCAGCAGUGAAGCCAGACUGUUAAGUACUGGUGGAGCGUUAGGAAGUGAGAAUGCUGGAACGAGUAACCAUAAGACAGGUGAGAAUCCUGUCGGCCGAAAGAGCGAGGUUUCCUGGGCUAUGGUAAUCAUCCCAGGGUUAGUCGGGCCUAAGCCGAGGCGUUUAGCGUAGGCGAUGGACAUCAGGUUAAUAUUCCUGAACUAGUCAAACUUUGUAUGCAGUUAGCGAUGAGAUAGGUGGAGCGGAUUCAUGGUUUAUCCGUUCAAGUGAUAGAGGAAUCUUGAUCGAGUAAAAGUGAACCUACGGGUUUACGAUUCCGCUGAAGGCAUUGACCAGAAAAGCUGGCAUACGCAUGGGUUUGGCUACCCGUACCGCAAACCGACACAGGUGCUCGAGUCGAGGAGACUAAGGCUUACGAGAGAAUGAUUGCUAAGGAACUCGGCAAUACAGCGACCGUAACUUCGGAAUAAGGUCUGCCUACAUUUGUAGGCCGCAGCUAAAGAGCCCACGGAACUGUUUAUCAAAAACUCAGGUCUCUGCUAACACGAAAGUGGAUGUAUAGGGGCUGAAACCUGCCCGGUGCCGGAAGGUUAAGGGGAUUGCUUCACGGUGAGAACUGAAGCCCCGGUGAACGGCGGCGGUAACUAUAACCGUCCUAAGGUAGCGAAAUUCCUUGUCAGGUAAGUUCUGACCCGCACGAAUGGUUAAAUCAUGUGGGCACUGUCUCAGCAAUUAUCUCGGUGAAAAUGCAUUGGCGGUAAAGAUGCCGUCUGUCCGCACCAGGACGAAAAGACCCCGUGGAGCUUCACUACAGCUUUACAUUGUUGUGGGUUCUAACUUGUGUAGUAUAGGUGGGAGACUUUGAAGCAGAUACGCCAGUAUUUGUGGAGUCAUCAGUGAAAUACCACCCCCGUUAGGAUCUGCAUCUAACCUGUGCCGUUAUCCGGUAUAGGGACCGUGUAUGGUUGGUAGUUUAACUGGGGCGGUUGCCUCCUAAAGAGUAGCGGAGGCGUUCAAAGGUUGGCUAGCUACGGAUGGAAAUCGUAGUGGUAGUGUAUACGCAUAAGCCAGCUUGACUGUGAGGAGUACAUUCCGAUCAGAUGCGAAAGCAGGAGUAAGUGAUCCGCUGGACGAACCAUUGGUUCAUGAAUGUGGGAUUGCCAGCGCAAACGGACAAAAGUUACCCCGGGGAUAACAGGCUGAUAGCGCCCAAUAGUUCACAUAGACGGCGCUGUUUGGCACCUCGAUGUCGGCUCAUCACAUCCUGGAGGGGGAGCACCUUCCAAGGGUCCGGCUGUUCGCCGGUUAAAGUGGUACGCGAGCUGGGUUCAGAACGUCGCGAGACAGUUCGGUUUAUAUCCGGUGUGGACGUCAGGAAACUUGCGAGGAUUUGCCCCUAGUACGAGAGGACCGGGGUGAACGCACCUCUGGUGUAUCGGUUGUGACCACCUGUCGCAUUGCCGAGUAGCUAUGUGCGGAGCAGAUAAGCGCUGAAAGCAUAUUAAGCGCGAAACUGACCUCAAGAUUAGGUUUCCCUAUGAGGACACUAAUAGACGAUUAGUUUGAUAGGCACAAGGUGGAAGCACAGUAAUGUGUGGAGCUGAAGUGUACUAAUAGUCCCACUGCCUUUUUA
This 2281-nucleotide ribosomal RNA is filed under the name human oral metagenome. Its description in RNAcentral is "bacterial LSU rRNA". It matches the Rfam family "Bacterial large subunit ribosomal RNA", at positions 592 to 2925 of the family's 2925-position model. The record is from RNAcentral.